Molecule: non-coding RNA, 621 nt
Organism: Hypanus sabinus (Atlantic stingray)
Lineage: Eukaryota; Metazoa; Chordata; Chondrichthyes; Myliobatiformes; Dasyatidae
Source: the annotation of a RefSeq genome assembly
AUGUGUUUUGGAAAACUGAAAUCUCUGCUGGGGGCGGGGACAGGAAAUUCUGUCUCUGGUUUUAUUGUGUGGCAGUCUUUACAAGCUGAGGCUCCUCCUCUCACUGGCAGUCUCCGUCUGUAUUUCAACCGCGCUCUCGGCUUCUCGCGAAAAAUCCGGUCUCAACUAAAGCUGCUGAUGUCAAAAAUGUUAAAGUCCGAAUCAGUGCUCAGCGCGAUAGGGACCAUUCCUUAUUUCUGUCUUCUCCUGCUUUGCCUUCCAGGCGUGCAGUCCGAUAUUCUGCUGAAAAAACCGGAGUCAGCUGUGGUAAAGCUUGGACAAUCCCACAAAUUGAACUGUGCAGUCAGUGGGAUCAGCCUUAGCAACUCUGACAUGUACUGGGUGAAACAGGUCUCCGGGAAAGGGCUGGAAUGGCUGGCCGCUGUAUGGGGCGGCGGUGGCAAGAAGUACGCGCCUGGAGUCGAAGGCCGAUUCGAGGUUGCCAAGGACAGCAGCACCGUUUAUCUUCAAAUGAACAACCUGAGACUGGACGACGCGGCCACCUAUUACUGUGCGGGAGACACAGGGAGAGAAAUCGGGAGUCGACCGGGACAAAAACCAAGCGAAAGCGCCGACCAGUAA